This 497-nucleotide ribosomal RNA is filed under the name uncultured bacterium. RNAcentral describes it as "partial 16S ribosomal RNA". It matches the Rfam family "Bacterial small subunit ribosomal RNA", at positions 28 to 507 of the family's 1533-position model. The record is from RNAcentral.
GAUGAACGCUGGCGGCGUGCCUAAUACAUGCAAGUCGAGCGAACAGACGAGGAGCUUGCUCCUCUGACGUUAGCGGCGGACGGGUGAGUAACACGUGGAUAACCUACCUAUAAGACUGGGAUAACUUCGGGAAACCGGAGCUAAUACCGGAUAAUAUAUUGAACCGCAUGGUUCAAUAGUGAAAGACGGUUUUGCUGUCACUUAUAGAUGGAUCCGCGCCGCAUUAGCUAGUUGGUAAGGUAACGGCUUACCAAGGCAACGAUGCGUAGCCGACCUGAGAGGGUGAUCGGCCACACUGGAACGGAGACACGGUCCAGACUCCUACGGGAGGCAGAAGUGGGGAAUCUUCCGCAAUGGGCGAAAGCCUGACGGAGCAACGCCGCGUGAGUGAUGAAGGUCUUCGGAUCGUAAAACUCUGUUAUUAGGGAAGAACAAAUGUGUAAGUAACUAUGCACGUCUUGACGGUACCUAAUCAGAAAGCCACGGCUAACUACGUG